Molecule: unclassified non-coding RNA, 414 nt
Filed under: soil metagenome
Description: partial contains 5.8S ribosomal RNA, internal transcribed spacer 2, and large subunit ribosomal RNA
Rfam family: 5.8S ribosomal RNA (bases 2-123)
Source: RNAcentral
GGAUGAAGAACGUAGCGAAAUGCGAUACUUGGUGUGAAUUGCAGAAUCCCGCGAAUCAUCGAGUCUUUGAACGCAAGUUGCGCCCCAGGCCAUCCGGCUGAGGGCACGUCUGCCUGGGUGUCACGCACAGUCGCCCCACAAAAACCUCCUUCCCCGCGAAGGUCGUUGCUCGAUGUGGGCGGAUGAUGGCCUCCCGCCCGCGCGCCGCUCGGCCGCCGCGGUUGGCCCAAAUGUGAAGCUCGUGCGGCGAACAGCGAGGACGAGUUGGUGGUUGAAUAAACGCGACGCUGUCUCGUCUGGCUGCGCGCCCCGUGCUCACGGACCCCCCAGCGUACCCCCCGGGGAACGCUCGCACCGCGACCCCAGGUCAGGCGGGACUACCCGCUGAGUUUAAGCAUAUCAAUAAGCGGAGGA